RNAcentral lists this ribosomal RNA (1437 nucleotides) under uncultured organism. RNAcentral's name for it is "16S ribosomal RNA". It matches the Rfam family "Bacterial small subunit ribosomal RNA". The record is from RNAcentral.
CAGGCUUAACACAUGCAAGUCGAGGGGCAGCAUGGUCUUAGCUUGCUAAGGCCGAUGGCGACCGGCGCACGGGUGAGUAACACGUAUCCAACCUGCCGUCUACUCUUGGACAGCCUUCUGAAAGGAAGAUUAAUACAAGAUGGCAUCAUGAGUCCGCAUGUUCACAUGAUUAAAGGUAUUCCGGUAGACGAUGGGGAUGCGUUCCAUUAGAUAGUAGACGGGGUAACGGCCCACCUAGUCUUCGAUGGAUAGGGGUUCUGAGAGGAAGGUCCCCCACAUUGGAACCGAGACACGGUCCAAACUCCUACGGGAGGCAGCAGUGAGGAAUAUUGGUCAAUGGGCGAGAGCCUGAACCAGCCAAGUAGCGUGAAGGAUGACUGCCCUAUGGGUUGUAAACUUCUUUUAUAAAGGAAUAAAGUCGGGUAUGGAUACCCGUUUGCAUGUACUUUAUGAAUAAGGAUCGGCUAACUCCGUGCCAGCAGCCGCGGUAAUACGGAGGAUCCGAGCGUUAUCCGGAUUUAUUGGGUUUAAAGGGAGCGUAGAUGGAUGUUUAAGUCAGUUGUGAAAGUUUGCGGCUCAACCGUAAAAUUGCAGUUGAUACUGGAUAUCUUGAGUGCAGUUGAGGCAGGCGGAAUUCGUGGUGUAGCGGUGAAAUGCUUAGAUAUCACGAAGAACUCCGAUUGCGAAGGCAGCCUGCUAAGCUGCAACUGACAUUGAGGCUCGAAAGUGUGGGUAUCAAACAGGAUUAGAUACCCUGGUAGUCCACACGGUAAACGAUGAAUACUCGCUGUUUGCGAUAUACGGCAAGCGGCCAAGCGAAAGCGUUAAGUAUUCCACCUGGGGAGUACGCCGGCAACGGUGAAACUCAAAGGAAUUGACGGGGGCCCGCACAAGCGGAGGAACAUGUGGUUUAAUUCGAUGAUACGCGAGGAACCUUACCCGGGCUUAAAUUGCAGAUGAAUUACGGUGAAAGCCGUAAGCCGCAAGGCAUCUGUGAAGGUGCUGCAUGGUUGUCGUCAGCUCGUGCCGUGAGGUGUCGGCUUAAGUGCCAUAACGAGCGCAACCCUUGUUGUCAGUUACUAACAGGUUCCGCUGAGGACUCUGACAAGACUGCCAUCGUAAGAUGUGAGGAAGGUGGGGAUGACGUCAAAUCAGCACGGCCCUUACGUCCGGGGCUACACGCGUGUUACAAUGGGGGGUACAGAGGGCCGCUACCACGCGAGUGGAUGCCAAUCCCCAAAACCUCUCUCAGUUCGGACUGGAGUCUGCAACCCGACUCCACGAAGCUGGAUUCGCUAGUAAUCGCGCAUCAGCCACGGCGCGGUGAAUACGUUCCCGGGCCUUGUACACACCGCCCGUCAAGCCAUGGGAGCCGGGGGUACCUGAAGUGCGUAACCGCGAGGAGCGCCCUAGGGUAAAACUGGUGACUGGGGCUAA